GUAGGUGAACCUGCGGAAGGAUCAUUAACACGUAUCCAACGUUAAACAACCCUGUGAACCUUCAUUCCGAGCCCUAACAAAAGCAAUCCUUGGUAAAUCACGUGAACAGUUUGAUUCAAGGACCUCUCUUGGUAGCCCUCGGGGAUUCGAUGCGGUCGUCGCAACUUAGGCUUGGCACCUGCAGGGUAGUCAGUGGGUGAAAGUGCCAUUGAUUGCUUAAGCGGAUAACCGACCUUUUGCAUUAAGCAAA
This 250-nucleotide unclassified non-coding RNA is filed under the name plant metagenome. RNAcentral describes it as "partial contains small subunit ribosomal RNA, internal transcribed spacer 1, and 5.8S ribosomal RNA". The record is from RNAcentral.